GGGGAAUAUUGCACAAUGGGCGCAAGCCUGAUGCAGCCAUGCCGCGUGUAUGAAGAGGGCCUUCGGGUUGUAAAGUACUUUCAGCGGGGAGGAAGGGAGUAAAGUUAAUACCUUUGCUCAUUGACGUUACCCGCAGAAGAAGCACCGGCUAACUCCGUGCCAGCAGCCGCGGUAAUACGGAGGGUGCAAGCGUUAAUCGGAAUUACUGGGCGUAAAGCGCACGCAGGCGGUUUGUUAAGUCAGAUGUGAAAUCCCCGGGCUCAACCUGGGAACUGCAUCUGAUACUGGCAAGCUUGAGUCUCGUAGAGGGGGGUAGAAUUCCAGGUGUAGCGGUGAAAUGCGUAGAGAUCUGGAGGAAUACCGGUGGCGAAGGCGGCCCCCUGGACGAAGACUGACGCUAAGGUGCGAAAGCGUGGGGAGCAAAC
Molecule: ribosomal RNA, 425 nt
Filed under: uncultured bacterium
Lineage: Bacteria
Description: bacterial SSU rRNA
Rfam family: Bacterial small subunit ribosomal RNA
Source: RNAcentral